Molecule: ribosomal RNA, 257 nt
Filed under: uncultured bacterium
Lineage: Bacteria
Description: partial 16S ribosomal RNA
Rfam family: Bacterial small subunit ribosomal RNA
Source: RNAcentral
UACAGAGGGUGCAAGCGUUAAUCGGAAUUACUGGGCGUAAAGCGUGCGUCAGUCGGUUAUUUAAGUCGGAAUGUGGAAAUCCCCGGGCUCAACCCUGGGAAUUGCAUUCGAUACUGGAUGGCUAGAGUUCGGCAGAGGGAAGUGGAAUUUCAGGUGUAGCGGUGAAAUGCGUAGAUAUCUGAAGGAACAUCAGUGGCGAAAGCGACUUCCUGGACCAGAACUGACGAUCAGGCACGAAAGCGUGGGGAGCAAACAGG